RNAcentral lists this ribosomal RNA (358 nucleotides) under uncultured bacterium. Its description in RNAcentral is "bacterial SSU rRNA". It matches the Rfam family "Bacterial small subunit ribosomal RNA", at positions 29 to 406 of the family's 1533-position model. The record is from RNAcentral.
AGCGAACGCUGGCGGCAGGCUUAACACAUGCAAGUCGAGCGGGCGUAGCAAUACGUCAGCGGCAGACGGGUGAGUAACGCGUGGGAACGUACCUUUUGGUUCGGAACAACACAGGGAAACUUGUGCUAAUACCGGAUAAGCCCUUACGGGGAAAGAUUUAUCGCCGAAAGAUCGGCCCGCGUCUGAUUAGCUAGUUGGUGAGGUAACGGCUCACCAAGGCGACGAUCAGUAGCUGGUCUGAGAGGAUGAUCAGCCACAUUGGGACUGAGACACGGCCCAAACUCCUACGGGAGGCAGCAGUGGGGGAAUAUUGGACAAUGGGGGCGAACCCUACGAUCCACGCCAUGCCGCCGUGAGU